AUAAUGCUUUAUACACAGCUAAAUAAAAAUAAAAAUAAAAAUAAAAUGAUAGUAAUAAUUACAAUUUUAUUUUAUUUUUUAUAUUCAUAUUAAUAAAUAUAAUAUUUAUUAUUGUUAUUGUUAUUAGUAGCAGUAUUACUAUUAUUAUUACAAUAAAUAAAAUAGCAUAUAUUAUACCAUAUAAUAUGUUAAAAUAUAUAAUUUUGCACUGUUUAUAUAUGGCCAAUUUGCAUAAAAUUUUUACUGAUUUUGCGUUUAUGCAAAAAUAGUCUACUGUGUUGGGUUUUGCCGAUUAGGUCUAUAAUUUUAAUAAACUAAUCAAAAUACUAAUAUUUGUCUUUUUCUCCCUUUUAUCUCUCGUUCAUUUCUCCUCCCUCUUUGCCCCCCUCAUUCUCACCCUUUCUUACUUUCUCUCUCCUCUCUUUUCCUUUCCUUCAUUCUCAACAUUUCUUCUUUUAACAUCCCAAUAGUCUUAGAUCAAAUAACGUGGGAGAGUAUGAUUGGUUUAUAAGUAAUGGACACACUAGUUAUAAUAACUGGGUUUAAGCAUUUUGGGACGGUGGUAUGGACCCAACGAGUUAUUAUUAUUAGCGAGCCGGGUCUUUACAUUUGAUAUCAGAGACGGAUAACAAGCCAAAAGUUUGAGAUGGAUCUCACAUCGCCUAGUGAAUUUGGAACUAUAUGUAUCAUUCGGCUGGGCUGACGAGGACAUCAGGGCCUAAACGAGGGGAGUAUGUGACAUCCCAAUAGUCCCACAUCAGAUAAAAUGGGAGAAUUAAUAAUGGACACACUAGUCAUAAUAACUGGGCUUCUCUCUACCCCACUCUCAUGCUACCGUACUCCUCCACUACCCCACUCUCAUGCUGCGCUUCUCUCUCCUACCCCACUCUGACGGUGUGCUUCUCUUUCCUACCUCACCCACACCUUCGCAG
RNAcentral lists this long non-coding RNA (932 nucleotides) under Ananas comosus (pineapple). RNAcentral describes it as "long non-coding RNA (ACOM_LNC017644)". The record is from RNAcentral. Lineage: Eukaryota; Viridiplantae; Streptophyta; Magnoliopsida; Poales; Bromeliaceae.